RNAcentral lists this small nucleolar RNA (131 nucleotides) under Dasypus novemcinctus (nine-banded armadillo). RNAcentral describes it as "Small nucleolar RNA SNORA24 (ENSDNOG00000044301.1)". It matches the Rfam family "Small nucleolar RNA SNORA24". From Rfam's summary of the family: ACA24 is a member of the H/ACA class of snoRNA that guide the sites of modification of uridines to pseudouridines. Lineage: Eukaryota; Metazoa; Chordata; Mammalia; Cingulata; Dasypodidae. The record is from RNAcentral.
UAUUAUGUAUCUUUAGAAUCUGUCAUCUGUGGCAGUCUCCCUUUCUAGCCAUGGAGGAGCAUAUUGUUGGUUAUUGGCAAAUCUGUCACCAUUUAAUUGGUAUAAGAUUCUGACUUACACAAGUAACGUUC